RNAcentral lists this transfer RNA (75 nucleotides) under Pseudomonadales bacterium. RNAcentral's name for it is "tRNA-Gly". It matches the Rfam family "tRNA". From Rfam's summary of the family: Transfer RNA (tRNA) molecules are approximately 80 nucleotides in length. Their secondary structure includes four short double-helical elements and three loops (D, anti-codon, and T loops). The record is from RNAcentral. RNAcentral also lists the same sequence under 4 other names. Lineage: Bacteria; Pseudomonadati; Pseudomonadota; Gammaproteobacteria; Pseudomonadales.
GCGGGAAUAGCUCAGUGGUAGAGCAGUUCGUUGCCAACGAACAGGUCGGGAGUUCGAGCCUCCUUUCCCGCUCCA